RNAcentral lists this ribosomal RNA (497 nucleotides) under uncultured bacterium. RNAcentral's name for it is "partial 16S ribosomal RNA". It matches the Rfam family "Bacterial small subunit ribosomal RNA", at positions 28 to 507 of the family's 1533-position model. The record is from RNAcentral.
GAUGAACGCUGGCGGCGUGCCUAAUACAUGCAAGUCGAGCGAACGGACGAGAAGCUUGCUUCUCUGAUGUUAGCGGCGGACGGGUGAGUAACACGUGGAUAACCUACCUAUAAGACUGGGAUAACUUCGGGAAACCGGAUCUAAUACCGGAUGAUAUUUUGAACCGCAUGGUUCAAAAGUGAAAGACGGUCUUGCUGUCACUUAUAGAUGGAUCCGCGCUGCAUUAGCUAGUUGGUAAGGUAACGGCUUACCAAGGCAACGAUGCAUAGCCGACCUGAGAGGGUGAUCGGCCACACUGGAACUGAGACACGGUCCAGACUCCUACGGGAGUCAGCAGUAGGGAAUCUUCCGCAAUGGGCGAAAGCCUGACGGAGCAACGCCGCGUGAGUGAUGAAGGUCUUCGGAUCGUAAAACUCUGUUAUUAGGGAAGAACAUAUGUGUAAGUAACUGUGCACAUCUUGACGGUACCUAAUCAGAAAGCCACGGCUAACUACGUG